GCUGAGCUGCAGGUACCUACAGUGUGGACAUGCGUCAUCUACCUGCGCUGCAGAGAAGGUGAUAGCACCUUAAACUCCGGGCCUGUUUUCGAGCUGUUUUUGAGGAAAUGUGGUGAAUGUAAACUUACUCUGUUUGGGGGGAAAAUUCUGGUAAGUGGUGCUGUCUUGAUUAAUUUUGUUUUUCAAUGACARUUUCAGAGAGAGAUUGCUUUA
RNAcentral lists this long non-coding RNA (213 nucleotides) under Apteryx rowi (Okarito brown kiwi). RNAcentral's name for it is "lncRNA (ENSARWG00000009671.1)". The record is from RNAcentral. Lineage: Eukaryota; Metazoa; Chordata; Aves; Apterygiformes; Apterygidae.